GUGGGGAAUAUUCCGCAAUGGACGAAAGUCUGACGGAGCAACGCCGCGUGAGUGAAGAAGGCCUUCGGGUCGUAAAGCUCUGUCAUCAGGGACGAACGGCCGGUGGAGUGGAAAGCCACCGGAUUGACGGUACCUGAGAAGGAAGCCACGGCUAACUACGUGCCAGCAGCCGCGGUAAUACGUAGGUGGCAAGCGUUGUCCGGAAUUAUUGGGCGUAAAGCGCGCGCAGGUGGGAUCUUAAGUCCAUUUUUAAAGUUCGGAGCUCAACUCCGUGAUGGGAUGGAAACUGGGAUUCUUGAGUACCGGAGAGGAAAGCGGAAUUCCCCGUGUAGCGGUGAAAUGCGUAGAUAUGGGGAGGAACACCAGUGGCGAAGGCGACUUUCUGGACGGUGUCUGACACUGAAGCGCGAAAGCCAGGGGAGCGAACGGGAUUAGAAACCCCGGUAGUCC
This 450-nucleotide ribosomal RNA is filed under the name uncultured bacterium. RNAcentral's name for it is "partial 16S ribosomal RNA". It matches the Rfam family "Bacterial small subunit ribosomal RNA", at positions 354 to 796 of the family's 1533-position model. The record is from RNAcentral.